This 226-nucleotide ribosomal RNA is filed under the name uncultured bacterium. RNAcentral's name for it is "partial 16S ribosomal RNA". It matches the Rfam family "Bacterial small subunit ribosomal RNA", at positions 99 to 334 of the family's 1533-position model. The record is from RNAcentral.
CGGACGGGUGAGGAACACGUGGGUUAUCUACCUUGAGGUGAGGAAUACCGGCGAGAAAUCGCCGACAAUACCGCAUAUCCUUUGCACAAAGGAAAGCUUCGCAAGAGGCGCCACAAGAUGAGCCUGCGGCCGAUUAGCUAGUUGGUGGGGUAACGGCCUACCAAGGCGACGAUCGGUAGCUGGUCUGAGAGGACGAUCAGCCACACUGGGAUUGAGAACGGCCCAG